Molecule: ribosomal RNA, 2273 nt
Filed under: Purpureocillium lilacinum
Lineage: Eukaryota; Fungi; Ascomycota; Sordariomycetes; Hypocreales; Ophiocordycipitaceae
Description: large subunit ribosomal RNA
Rfam family: Bacterial large subunit ribosomal RNA (bases 1-1780)
Source: RNAcentral
CAUAAGUAUAUAAAGAAACUAUUAUGGAAUUUAAGCUAUGUAUUAAAGAGAAUUAUUUAUACAAAUAGAGAUUUAAUAUCCUAUAAGUAUAUAAACUCUAAGAGAAAUCUAAUACUAAACGAAGUGAAUUGAAAUAUCUUAGUAACUUCAGGAAAAGAAAUCAAAAGAGAUUCUAUGAAUAGCGUGAGCGAAAGUAGAGUAGCCUAUAAAGUAGAACGGUACUGAAACUGUUUAAACAUAAUGGGGAACCUUCCUCAAAGGCUAAAUAUAAUACAUAAGCGAUAGUGAAAAGUACCAUGAGGGAACAAAAACAAAAAUAGUAGUUUUAUAAGCAGUUCGAGGCGCAAGCUAUAGAACGUACCUUUUGCAUAAUGGGUCACCAAGUUAACAUUAGAUGCGAGUUCACGCGUAGUUAAACCGAACGUUAAAAUAACGAAAUAGUGUCUAAAGUUAGACCCGAAGCACGGUGAUUUUACCAUGGUCAGGAUUAUAAAAGUCCGAACGGGUGAUUGUAGCAAAAAUCUCCGAAGAACUGUGGUAGGUGUAGUGAAAGACAACACUGACUGUGAUAGCUGGUUUUCUGCGAAACCUAUAAUAGUAGGCAAUUUAAGUGAAUAUCUUAGCAGGUACAGAAUUUAAUCUCAGACAAGACGCGUAUGCGUUUUAUAUUGUACAAAUUGGGGGAUCGUAAAGAUUUUAUCAGUGAGUAUGUAGACUCGGAAUGGCAAAGAUAUGUCUUAAAUUAUCAGACAUAGAAUGAUAAGGUUGUAUGUCGAAAGGGAAACAGCCCAGAACAAGAGUUAAGGUUCCUAAAUUAUUAGUUGAGUGAAAUUAAGAAGGUUUUUAUUAAAGUCGACAAGGAGAUAGGCUUAGAAGCAGCCAUAAUUUUAUGACCUCGUAACAGAGCGCUUGUUAAGUUAUAAAAGCAUCGAAAAUUUAACGGAUCUAAACAAUAUACCGAAACCUUGUCCAUAAUACAUUGUAUUAAUAAGCUUUAAUAUAAUUAAAUGGGGUAGCAGAACGUUGAGCUAGAUUACGAUUUCUAUUUUUUAAAUAGAAUGAUAAUAAUUUAACUCAAGUGAGAAUGGUGACAUGAGUAACUAAAAGAAAAUUUUCCGCCUUAAGCUUAUGGAUAUAAUUAAGUAACGGCCUCUAAGUUUAUAUUAUCUAAAGAUUUAAACGAUGAGAAAAUCUUUUUUACUAAGGACAACAUUUUAGUGUAAAAUGUGCUGGAAAAAUAGUAAAUAUAUUUAUAAGCGCAAGCUUAUAAACGAAGAAUAACCGUACCUAGAAUCUGAAACAAGUAAGCUAGUAGAGAAUACGAAGGCGUAAAUGAGCUAACAAUCAUAAAGGAACUCGGCAAAUUGACUACCGUAACUUCGGAAUAAGGAGGGCUCAUUAUUCCUGAUUAAUAUCAGGUAAAGAGGAAGAAGCAUGAAAUAAUGUUGUACGACUGUUUAAUUAAAACACAGCACUUUGCUGAAAGAUUAAAAAUCUAAGUAUAAAGUGUGAUAUCUGCCCGGUGCCGGCUGGUUAACAGAGAUAAUUGAAUAUACUACUAUUUGAUGUCGACGGAAACCCCGGUUAAAGGCGGCCUUAACGUGAGGGUCCUAAGGUAGCGAAAUGCCUUGGCCGUUAAAUGCGGUCUUGCAUGAAUGGUGUAACGAUACAACAGCUGUCUCUAUGAUUGACUCAGUGAAAUUGGAAUAGCUGUGCAGAUACAGCUUACCUCUAGUUAGACGAGAAGACCCUAUGCAGCUUUACUGUCACUAAUUAUAGAGUAUGAUAGACAAUUUUCAGAUUAUAAGGUAAUUGACGAUAUGGCAAUGAGAAUCCUUUAUUUUUCUUUCAUAUGAAUGAAUUGGUUUAGGAUUAUGAGUAAAUUAUAAUUGAUGUGGCUUUACUGAGCUAUUUUUAUACAUUAAUUAUAAUUUUUAAAUUAUUAUAUAGCUCAUUUUAGUAGACCAGCCUAAUUCAACUUAUUAUUUAAUAAUAGUAAGUACCCUUUGGCAAGGAACUAUCGCUAGGGGACAGUUUAUGUGGGGCACAGACCCUGUAAAGAGUAAACAGGAGUGUCUAAAAAUUUAUAAUUAUUUUGUUUGCUAUUUUAAGUAGAGAGCUCGCGCCUCUAUUUUUAAUCAUAUACAAUUAUUUAUAUUUGCAUUGUUGUAAAUAUAUUUAAGUUUAGGUAGGAUUUUCACUAUAUAGAAAUUAGAGAUAAUUGAGAAUAUUAUGAAGUUUUCUAAUAUUUUCUAGCUAUUAUUGCUUAGGCA